This 77-nucleotide transfer RNA is filed under the name [Mycoplasma] cavipharyngis. RNAcentral's name for it is "tRNA-Asp". It matches the Rfam family "tRNA". Rfam says of the family: Transfer RNA (tRNA) molecules are approximately 80 nucleotides in length. Their secondary structure includes four short double-helical elements and three loops (D, anti-codon, and T loops). Further hydrogen bonds mediate the characteristic L-shaped molecular structure. tRNAs have two regions of fundamental functional importance: the anti-codon, which is responsible for specific mRNA codon recognition, and the 3' end, to which the tRNAs corresponding amino acid is attached (by aminoacyl-tRNA synthetases). tRNAs cope with the degeneracy of the genetic code in two manners: having more than one tRNA (with a specific anti-codon) for a particular amino acid; and 'wobble' base-pairing, i.e. permitting non-standard base-pairing at the 3rd anti-codon position. The record is from RNAcentral. RNAcentral also lists the same sequence under 1 other name. Lineage: Bacteria; Bacillati; Mycoplasmatota; Mycoplasmoidales; Mycoplasmoidaceae.
GGAAUUGUAGUGUAGAGACCUAACACGCCACUCUGUCACAGUGGAGAUCGCGGGUUUGAAUCCCGUCAGUUCCGCCA